CUUUCUUUUCCAAAGUGUAAUCCAACUUUUCCUUGAAUUAAUGUACGCAAGUCACUUUAACUGCUGGCUGCAAAACUUUUGGCAGUUUGUUUGAUAUUCCAACCAAUCUCUGUGUAAAGAACUGUCUGAAUUGUUUAUAGGCUUGUCCUUCUGCCCAGAGUUUAGUCCACAAUCUCUUAUUUUGAACACAAUUGCACUUAGAGAGAUGUUUGGGCCUUGCACUGGAAGACUGUGGUUAGGGAAGAUUCACAGAAUUUAGAAUCAUUAGACAUGUUUUUAUCAACAGUUAAAAACGAGUAAAGCAAAGAGGAUAAAGAAGGAACAAGAGUACAAGAUGAAGAUUAGGAAGACUAUUUCUGCUGUUCCUUUUUCAAAUUUAGAUGUAUGGGUUGUGUUAACAAGACCUAUAACCAACACCUGUGUGAAGAGAUCAAGGAUCCUGAUUUGUUUCUAGGUAAGACACAUUAUUGUCAAAACCAACCAAAGCGUACCUCCAGUAAUGUAAAAGAGAGGAAGAAGUUUUAUUGAAGUAGUAAUUAACAUUGCAAAGUAAAACACUGUAAGAACACUUAUUAAGGUACAAAUUUUACCUGCUUGGUAUUUAUUUCAGACUGUCUAGUAUGUUUAGAUAUGUUUAAAAGGCAGAUAGUCCCAGAAUAAUCAGUAAUUGGGAACUCACUGAAGAUAGAUAGGGAAAGGGAAAAAGAUAGUGCUUACUAUUAGAAAUGAGGAAAAAGAGCAGUUAGAAAGAAGAGACUGAUUAAGUUAAAUACAACCGCACACAUACCACAGUCUCAUUUUGAACACAUAGAAGAUGAAGAGUUGUAUAACACCCAACAUAUAAAUAACCAUCAGAAUAAAUUGUGUCAGUUGUCAGGUUGUGUCAAGCUGAACUACAGCAGAAUUUACAAAAGAAUUAGCAAGUCUAUCUCAAUUUUAUUAAAACUUUAUAUAUACAUGUAUAUAUAUAUUUAUAAUUCCACGUUCCAACAGGAAAUUGAGGCAAAUAUUCUUGAUAGAUCUAUAACAGAGUGGAUGCAAAAGGAGUUCACUAAAGGUAUCUAAAGAACUACUUUUUAGUAGUUGAUGUAUUGAAUAAGCAUCUAUUGAACCUUCAGUGUUCAGUAUUUUUAGUAGUGUCCUUGAUAGUGAUAUAGUACAGGCUUAUGAAAUUUCAGUUGACGCUAACUCUACAUACACUGAAAGAAAUUAAUUGAAUUCAGAAAUUAUAUUUACACAUAAAAUUCAAGGCUUUUUGAUAAAGAAAUGGAAGUUGUGGCAUUUAGACAGAAUAAUCAACUGUGAAGAUGCAGGAUGGAAAACCCAACACUGCAAAAAAAGUACUAAGGUUCAGUGAAUCUCAAGAUUAGUGUUAGUCAAUGAGGUGAUUUAAAAGGAGAGAUUUGGGUAUGUUGGAGCUGGUUAGUCUAAAGACAAGAGGACAACUUAGGAGAAUAAAUAAUAGUACAAGCUGUUGCAAGAAAGGUUCUGAUUAGAAGUAAGGGAAACAGUUCUAAUAGCAACAGGGGAAGGGGGG
Molecule: long non-coding RNA, 1537 nt
Filed under: Gallus gallus (chicken)
Lineage: Eukaryota; Metazoa; Chordata; Aves; Galliformes; Phasianidae
Description: lncRNA (ENSGALG00010018432.1)
Source: RNAcentral